UGAAAAGACAUGGAGGAAUCUUAAAUGCAUAUCACUAAGCGAAAGAAGCCAAUUUGAAAAGGCUACAUACAUACAGUAUGAUUCCAACUCUAUGACAUUCCGGCAAAGGCAACACCGUGGAGCCAGUAAAAGGAUCAUUGGUUGCCCAGGGUUUGCUGCAGAGGGGCUGGGGGAAGAAGGAAUGACUGGGAGGAGCACAGGAUUUUUAGGGCAUACAUACUCUGUAUGAUACUAUAAUGGUGGAUACAUGUCAUGGUACAUUUGUGCCAAUCUCUAAAAUGUACAAGACCAAGAGUGAACCAUAAUGCAGACUAUGGAUUUUGGCUGAUUAUAAUGUGUCAAUGUAGGUUCAACAAUUCUAACAAGAGUACCACUCUCAUGGGGGAUGUUGAUAAUGGGGGAGAUUGCAUGUACAGGGACAAGGGGCAUAUAGGAAAUCUUUGUACCUUCCCCCCUCAAUGCUGUGAACCUAAAACUGCUAUAAAAAAAAAUAAAGUCUUCAUUAAAAAAAAGUGAAUGAUGCCUAUGGUUUUACACCCUCCUCCCUUCUCUCUUGGAAGACAGCAUGCCAAGCCAGAGCCUGAAUGGAUUGGAUCUAGCCUGUGCUAUUAAUCCCCUGUUAUGUGACCUUGAGCAAUUCGCCUCACUUCUCUGAGCCUCACUUUCCUCAUCCAUAAAGUAGGGAUAGGGUUGCUGAUGUAAAAUUGCUUUGAAAGCUCUAAAAGAGCUACCUAAAGGCAGGGACAUAUUUUGGACCUAUAUUUCAGAGUCCCAAGUUUAGCUUUCAGAUGUGCUUUACAUAGUGUUUUAAUGUUCUGAGUAUUAUUAAUACUUUAGGCAGGAGAAUGAAGUCUCCUACUUGCCAGAGGCCCCUCGAUUCCUAAUUGUUUUGCGCUGGGCAAAUUCACACAUUUGUCAUGUAUGUCUGGCUCCUGAAGGCAGUUGAAUUUGCGACAUCUUGUUCCUACAUGAGUGGUAGUGGGUGCACUCUCCUGACCAGCAUUUCCUCUGCCCUCUGAGUCUCAGGCCCUGUGCUGGGUGAAAUGGGAGAGACAGGAGAAAAGAUGAUAUGGUUCCUUCUCUCAAGAAUCUAGUCUCACUUUGGAAUGAGCUGUGAGUUUGCUAAAAGUCAGGGCAGAGUGUUUUGAUGCCAUGGGAGAAGGUGGUCAAGGGUCAGGUCAGACCCAGCGGGGUAGCAGGGAAGGCUUGAGCCUGGCUUUGGGAAAUUUAGGCAUGAAGGGUAGGCAUUUCAGGAAGAUGACACAGCCUCAACAAUGCUGAGAAUUGGGGGACAGUGAAUAGAUCAUCUUAUCUUCUUUAUGAGGGAGAAGAUUGAGACAGUUAGAUAUGUCUCCUGGAGUGAGGUGGCCAAAGGCCCAGCAUGCCUUUGUUCAGAGGUGACAAGGAGCUAUUGAAAAGUUGUUGAGCAGGAAUUGGCGUGGUCCAGGCUCCACUUUCCAAAGGAUGAUCUAACAGGAUGUAUAGAAUGGCUGUAAAGACAGCUGUAAGGCUGGAGACAGGCCACAGCAAUUACUCGGUUGUAAUGUGGGCUACUGGCCAAGAGGUGGCAGUGGAGAUAGAGGGAGAGACGCUGUAGAGGAAGAAUUAGCAGAACUUGGCAGACAGUUGACUGCUAGUGGUAAUGAUCCUCCAAACAGCCUUUGUGGCCUUCUGUGAGGCCAGCCUUUCCCAGUCUCCUCUUCCCUCCUACCUCCCUGUCCGCUCUUUCUGGGUCUCCCUUACAGGCCACUUCUCCUGGACCCCUCCAUCAAUUGUAGGGGUUCCUCAGGAUUGCUUCCCUCAGUUGCCUUCUUUCAUCCAACACCUUGUCAAGGACAGAGGCAGAUUCGCUGAAGCUAAUGAAGCUUAAGCUUCAUGGGCCUCCCUUACAGGGACCCUUCAUUGCUAGAAGUAUCUGGGGAUUAUGGAACAGUCUAGAUGAGGUGGAGAAACCAGGUUGCAACCUGAAAGUAUUUACCUAUAAGCACUUCUGGUAAUUUGCCUAAAUAUAUCUCAGAAGAAAAAGGCAUUAACCUCUAAGCCUCUAGUAACUUGUCAUGGUUUCAUUGUGCAUUACAAUUACCAUCUCUUAAGCCAAGGACUUGGGUUCCCAUCUGUCUAACUCCUGGAUUCCUCUUGCAGACAUGCCAGGCACGUCGGACUCAGACAUCCAAAACUGAGCUCAUGAUCUGAACCACAAAAUCUGCUAUGAGGCGGUGGCACCACCGUCCACCCAGCUGCUCAAACUAGAAAUGACUUUUACACUAGGAAUAACUACUUGAGUUCCUGAAGGCUCAUGAUGGUAAAAACAUGGUUAAAGAAUUGUCCCAAGUGACACAGCUGGAAAGCAGUAGAGCAGGGACUUGAACCCAGAGAGACUGACCUAUGUGUGAGCCCUUAACUGCUGUGCAGGACACCCUAUUAAAUCCAGGUCUAUGAUGUGCCAGGCAUUAUUCUUGGCACCAGGGAGAUAAUAUUGGAAAAAUAAACAAGUAAAACUACUCACAAAGUUCCAGUUUUUAUCAAGUUUACAUUCCUGGUGGGGGAAGACAAAGAAAAAACAUAUAAAAAAGUGAAAGCAUAGGGGACGC
Equus caballus (horse) is the source of this 2591-nucleotide non-coding RNA. The record is from RefSeq and is a predicted model, not a curated record. Lineage: Eukaryota; Metazoa; Chordata; Mammalia; Perissodactyla; Equidae.